AGUGGCGGACGGGUGAGUAACACGUAGGUAACCUGCCCCGGAGCGAGGGAUAACAUUUGGAAACAGAUGCUAAUACCGCAUAACAACAAAAGCCACAUGGCUUUUGUUUGAAAGAUGGCUUUGGCUAUCACUCUGGGAUGGACCUGCGGUGCAUUAGCUAGUUGGUAAGGUAACGGCUUACCAAGGCGAUGAUGCAUAGCCGAGUUGAGAGACUGAUCGGCCACAAUGGAACUGAGACACGGUCCAUACUCCUACGGGAGGCAGCAGUAGGGAAUCUUCCACAAUGGGCGCAAGCCUGAUGGAGCAACACCGCGUGAGUGAAGAAGGGUUUCGGCUCGUAAAGCUCUGUUGUUGGAGAAGAACGUGCGUGAGAGUAACUGUUCACGCAGUGACGGUAUCCAACCAGAAAGUCACGGCUAACUACGUGCCAGCAGCCGCGGUAAUACGUAGGUGGCAAGCGUUAUCCGGAUUUAUUGGGCGUAAAGCGAGCGCAGGCGGUUGCUUAGGUCUGAUGUGAAAGCCUUCGGCUUAACCGAAGAAGUGCAUCGGAAACCGGGCGACUUGAGUGCAGAAGAGGACAGUGGAACUCCAUGUGUAGCGGUGGAAUGCGUAGAUAUAUGGGAAGAACACCAGUGGGCGAAAGCGGCUGGUCUGGUCCUGCCAACUGACGGCUGAGGGCUCGAAAGCCAUUGGGUA
RNAcentral lists this ribosomal RNA (696 nucleotides) under uncultured bacterium. Its description in RNAcentral is "bacterial SSU rRNA". It matches the Rfam family "Bacterial small subunit ribosomal RNA", at positions 94 to 767 of the family's 1533-position model. The record is from RNAcentral.